RNAcentral lists this long non-coding RNA (564 nucleotides) under Marmota monax (woodchuck). Lineage: Eukaryota; Metazoa; Chordata; Mammalia; Rodentia; Sciuridae. The record is from RNAcentral.
CUAUGGCAGUGGUUAUGAAAAUUCCAACUUUUGUCCCGAUCCCGGUUACUGCAGAUCCAGAGUCAUUUCCUAUUGUUGAACUGAUUAGAGCCCGUAGAGAUUUUGAAAUUACGGCAGCCAUAGUGACAGCUGUGGCGGUAUCUGCUGCUGCAGCAGUUAUAGCUGGAGUAGCCAUGGCCAGCCAGGUACAAACUGCUGCCACUAUUAAUCAGGUUAUUCAACAAACAUCCACCAUACUUGAAUCUCAAAGUAGAAUUAAUCAACACAUUUUAUCUGGGAUUCUGGCUGCUAAUCAAAGGAUAGAUCUGCUUCAAGCUCAAGUUGAGGAAUUGUCUGACCUAGUACAUUUGGGUUGUAUUGAUCAACGUGCACAUUUAUGUAUAACCUCUGUCAGAUUUAAUGAUUCCAGAAAUGCCUCCCGCAUCAUCGGGGAGUAUCUAUCCGGAACCUGGUCCAUGGAAGCAGAAAACAUGAUCCAGUCUCAAAUAACCCAGAUAGCUGUCUUGAACAGUACCCGUGUCGAUCCCGUGACUUUGGGUCAAUUCACUGAUUGGAUAUCUUCUG